Silurus meridionalis is the source of this 477-nucleotide non-coding RNA. The record is from the annotation of a RefSeq genome assembly. Lineage: Eukaryota; Metazoa; Chordata; Actinopteri; Siluriformes; Siluridae.
UAGGUGGUGAAAUACAAACAUAUUUUAUUUUACAAGAAAAUCAAAAUGUCUAUAGGCACAUACACUGUUUUACUCUUCUGUCUGGUCACAGAAGCUGUUUUGGGAGUGGAACUGGAGCAAAAAGAUCUCUCCAUGACAAAAGUGGAAGGCAAAACUGUAAGUAUCAGCUGCAAAGUGACCGGAUUAACCACUAGCUAUGUCCACUGGUACCAAAAGAAAGAAGAUGAAGCCCUAAAAAGGAUUCUAUACGUUAAAAAAGGAAGCUCAGCUGUUCCUGAUAACAGCCAUCCUGAAGCCAAGGAUUUCGAUGUGAGAAUCCAGUCUGAUAAUUAUGAUCUGAAGAUAACAAACCUGAAGAAAAGUCACUCAGCAGUUUAUUACUGCGCCAGCUGGGCAGACUCGCACAGUGAAAGAAAAUAUCCACAUCUUGUACAGAAACCUGCACUGUACACAACCACAACAGAAAUACAGCUUUGA